This 1813-nucleotide long non-coding RNA is filed under the name Homo sapiens (human). Its description in RNAcentral is "non-protein coding LINC00477:2". Lineage: Eukaryota; Metazoa; Chordata; Mammalia; Primates; Hominidae. The record is from RNAcentral.
CUCUUCUUGCAAGGCCUUUCGCCCCUGGUCUAUGUGCGCCUAGUCCAUGUUGCCUUUCUUUUCCAACACCACCUCCAAGUCCGUGUCUGUUUCCUCCUUUCAAGGGUCUCCUGCUACCCCACUCUCUUUCCUUUUCUUUUUCUUCCUUUGCAGAGCCGGCUCCUCAAUGACUGGCUGCUUUACCUUCUUCUUGGACUUCAUCUUUUUCUUCGCGGGGGUUUUAGGGCCAUCUCCUAUGGGGAUGUAUUCCGGAGCCUCCACUUUGACUGGCUUCUUUUUACUUCGUUUCCUAGGGCAGCUCUCCAUGGACCUGGAGGGCUUGGAGUGGCUUGGGAGGGCGUCUCCCUCCUGGUGGAUUUUUUUUUCUUCUUCGCCUUCCCACCGUGUUCCCUGGGGCUCUUGUGCUUCCGCUUCUGCCCCAAGGCUACCUGUUCCUCACCCUCCUUCCCCACUGAGCAAGUGUCCACAGCAUCCCCGACCUCGCAGAACCAAGGGUCCUGGACUGAGAAAGCUGUGGGGUCCUGGGCCCCCUUUUUUUCCUUCUUAAGUUUUUUAAGCUUCUUGCCAACUCUGGUUUCCUCCUCACCCUGUCUGGGGUCUGGGGAGAUUUUCACCCCAGAGGCAUGGGAGAUGGCCAGAGAUGACUUCCUUUUCUUCUGCCCACUGAGGAACUCCAAAUGGCCAAGCACCUGGUUCCUUGGGCUGGAUGACUUCUCUGUCCGUCUGGCACGCAGCGUGGUCUCAGGUUCUACGUGCCCCUCGCAAAGGGUGCUGACACCCUUCUCUUUCUUCUUUUUCUUCACUAGAGGCAUCUCAGGUGCCUGCCCGUGGACCACACUCUUAGAGGGGGCUGUGGCUUUUAUAGGAGAAACAUGGGCAAAGUAAUCAUCAUUGUUUAAAAUUGAGUAUUGAGUCCCUGGUUCUUUGACCACUUUCUUCUUCUUUUUCUUCUCUGGGAUCCCAGGGCCCAGGUCUACUUUCCGGUGGGCCAAACUUCCCCGCCUCCACGUGAGAGCCGGCUCCGCCGUGACCCGGAAGUCCACUUUCGGGUUGCACGCGUGGCUUCUCUUACACACAAAUUUUCUUCCACUUCUGCCACUCCUGAGACAGCAAGACUGAUACCUUAUUUUCCUCCUCCUCCUUGGCCUACUCAACAUGAAGAUGAUGAGGAUGACGACCUUUACGAUGAUCCACUUCCAUCUAAUGAUUGGUAAAUAUAUCUUUUCUUCCUUAAGAUUUUCUUAAUAAUAUUUUCUUUUCUUUAGUUUACCUUAUUGUAAGAAUCCAAUAUAUAAUAUAUUUAAUACAAAAUAUGUGUUAAUAGACUGUUUAUGUUAUUGUUAAGAAUUCCAGUCAACAGUAGGCUAUUAGUAGUUAAGUUUUUGCGUAGUCAAAAGUCAUACACAAAUUUUCAACUGCAUGCAGGGACAGCACCCCUAACCCCCACAUUGUUCAAAGGUCAACUGUAAUUGGAUUAAUAGCUACUAUAUCUGUAACUAUUUUCUCUUUAUUGAAUUUGUUAAUUUUUUUUUUUUUGCCCCUUCUUUUCCUGCAUUUACUGGUUUAACUGAGCAUUUUAUAUGAUUUCAUUUCAUCUUCUCUCUUCAUGUAUAAAUCAUACUGUUUUUUUAAAAUUGUGGUUUUCCCUAGAUUUUAAGAUAUAAGUUUUUUUUUCUUUUUUUUUUCUUUAUUAUUAUUAUACUUUAAGUUUUAGGGUACAUGUUCACAAUGUGCAAGUUAGUUACAUAUGUAUACAUGUGCCAUGCUGGUGCACUGCACCCACUAACUCAUCAUCUAGCAUUAGAUAUAUCUC